This is a long non-coding RNA of Teleopsis dalmanni, 322 nucleotides long. RefSeq lists it as uncharacterized. The record is from RefSeq and is a predicted model, not a curated record. Lineage: Eukaryota; Metazoa; Arthropoda; Insecta; Diptera; Diopsidae. The transcript is spliced from 3 exons.
UGAAUAUUCCAAACUCAAAUGCAGUGCGUAAAUGUUCAGUAUUGAAAUCGGAGAUCAAACCUAAGAAAUUUUUUGAGAGUAAAUAAGCUGACAUAUGUGCAAUAUAAAAAAGACACUCUUCCUAUUAUGAGUGCAUGCUUACCGAUACGUAUGCUGCUGCUUGUGCCCUGGUUAGACUCAAAAUUAUAAGAAUCCAGCUGUGAAUAAGCCAUGGUUACUUUUACUGCACCACUAAAUAUCAAUGAAAACAAUAUUUAAAACGAUAGAUACUUUCGCCAGAUACAAAUGGUACUCCCGCACACGUGGAGAGCAUGGAAACAAC